This 477-nucleotide ribosomal RNA is filed under the name uncultured organism. RNAcentral describes it as "partial 16S ribosomal RNA". It matches the Rfam family "Bacterial small subunit ribosomal RNA", at positions 330 to 798 of the family's 1533-position model. The record is from RNAcentral.
CGUACACUCCUGCGGGAGGCAGCAGUGGGGAAUAUUGCACAAUGGGCGCAAGCCUGAUGCAGCCAUGCCGCGUGUAUGAAGAAGGCCUUCGGGUUGUAAAGUACUUUCAGCGGGGAGGAAGGCGAUAAGGUUAAUAACCUUGUCGAUUGACGUUACCCGCAGAAGAAGCACCGGCUAACUCCGUGCCAGCAGCCGCGGUAAUACGGAGGGUGCAAGCGUUAAUCGGAAUUACUGGGCGUAAAGCGCACGCAGGCGGUCUGUCAAGUCGGAUGUGAAAUCCCCGGGCUCAACCUGGGAACUGCAUUCGAAACUGGCAGGCUAGAGUCUUGUAGAGGGGGGUAGAAUUCCAGGUGUAGCGGUGAAAUGCGUAGAGAUCUGGAGGAAUACCGGUGGCGAAGGCGGCCCCCUGGACAAAGACUGACGCUCAGGUGCGAAAGCGUGGGGAACAAACAGGAUUAGAAACCCCGGUAGUCCCAU